UUUUUGAAUAUUAUUAAUAUUAAUUACCAUUCACACUUUGUUUGUGUUGUGACUCGACACAAAUUGAUAAAUUUCUUAAUUAAUCAUCAUUAGUGAUGAAUACUAAUUGUAGCAUCAAAUGAAUGUUAAGGAAAUAUAGGCCAACACUCAUGUUGUUGAUUGAGAACCACCAAAUCAGCCACUCAAUGAAUGGUAACGGUAGGUAAAUAUAAAUCUUAAGCACAAUAUGUAUUAUCACUUUUGAUCCUCCGAUUGAAAAAUGAUGAAUAUGAAUUUUGUAACUUCAAAUGAAUGUGGUAGGUUAAUAGAAAUCUUAACGACGAGAUUUAUUAUCAUUUUUCGCAAAUCCUCCGAAGUUUAGAGUAGGUGAUUAUAUAUAUAUAUAUAUAUAUAUAUUUAUUAAUCUAUAUCUUUAUAUAUCUUUUUUCUUUUUCUGCUGCAGAAUAAAGCAAUUAAAAAAAUAGAAUAACAUGCCCAUCUCCACAAAAUAUAAUUCGAUCUUUCAAUCUUUGAAUAUUAUUAAUAUUAAUUACCAUUCACGCUUUGUUUGUGUUGUGACUCGACACAAAUUGAUAAAUUUCUUAAUUAAUCAUUAUUAGUGAUGAAUACUAAUUGUAGCGUCAAAUAAAUAUUAAGGAAAUAUAGGUCAACACUCAUGUUGUUGAUUGAGAACCACCAAAUCAACGACUCAAUGAAUGGUAACGGUAGGUAAAUAUAAAUCUUAAGCACAAUAUAUUUAUUUUGUAUCCUCCGAUUGAUUUUUUUUGAAUAUUAAUUUUGUAACUUCAAAUGAAUGUGAUAGGUUAAUAGAAAUCUUAACGACGAUAUUUAUUAUCAUUUUUCGCAAAUCCUCCGAAGUUUAGAGUAGGUGAAAAUUCUCCCAAUUU
This 887-nucleotide long non-coding RNA is filed under the name Lathyrus oleraceus (garden pea). RNAcentral describes it as "Pisum sativum (pea) long non-coding RNA (PSAT_LNC012520)". The record is from RNAcentral. Lineage: Eukaryota; Viridiplantae; Streptophyta; Magnoliopsida; Fabales; Fabaceae.